GACGAACGCUGGCGGCGUGCUUAACACAUGCAAGUCGAACGGAAAGGUCCUGCUUUUGUGGGGUGCUCGAGUGGCGAACGGGUGAGUAACACGUGAGUAACCUGCCCUUGACUUUGGGAUAACUUCAGGAAACUGGGGCUAAUACCGGAUAGGAGCUCCUGCUGCAUGGUGGGGGUUGGAAAGUUUCGGCGGUUGGGGAUGGACUCGCGGCUUAUCAGCUUGUUGGUUGGGUAGUGGCUUACCAAGGCUUUGACGGGUAGCCGGCCUGAGAGGGUGACCGGCCACAUUGGGACUGAGAUACGGCCCAGACUGCUACGGGGGGCAGCGGUGGGGAAUAUUGCACAAUGGGCGGAAGCCAGAUGCAGCAACGCCGCGUGCGGGAUGACGGCAUUCGGGUUGUAUACCGCUUGCGCCUGUGACGAAGCGUGAGUGACGGUAAUGGGUAAAGAAGCACCGGCUAACUACGUG
This 468-nucleotide ribosomal RNA is filed under the name uncultured bacterium. Its description in RNAcentral is "partial 16S ribosomal RNA". It matches the Rfam family "Bacterial small subunit ribosomal RNA", at positions 28 to 507 of the family's 1533-position model. The record is from RNAcentral.